This 253-nucleotide ribosomal RNA is filed under the name uncultured bacterium. RNAcentral describes it as "partial 16S ribosomal RNA". It matches the Rfam family "Bacterial small subunit ribosomal RNA", at positions 524 to 776 of the family's 1533-position model. The record is from RNAcentral.
UACGUAGGUGGCUAGCGUUGUCCGGAUUUACUGGGCGUAAAGAGCGCGCAGGCGGCUGGUCAAGUCCGAUGUGAAAGCUCCCGGCUUAACUGGGGAAUUGCAUCGGAAACUGAUCGGCUGGAAGGUGGGAGAGGGAAGCGGAAUUCCCGGUGUAGUGGUGAAAUGCGUAGAGAUGGGGAGGAACACCAGUGGCGAAAGCGGCUACCUGGCCCAUUCUUGACGCUGAGGCGCGAAAGCGAGGGGAGCAAACGGG